This 755-nucleotide ribosomal RNA is filed under the name Bacillus cereus. RNAcentral's name for it is "bacterial SSU rRNA". It matches the Rfam family "Bacterial small subunit ribosomal RNA", at positions 46 to 781 of the family's 1533-position model. Lineage: Bacteria; Bacillati; Bacillota; Bacilli; Caryophanales; Bacillaceae. The record is from RNAcentral.
GCCUAAUACAUGCAAGUCGAGCGAAUGGAUUAAGAGCUUGCUCUUAUGAAGUUAGCGGCGGACGGGUGAGUAACACGUGGGUAACCUGCCCAUAAGACUGGGAUAACUCCGGGAAACCGGGGCUAAUACCGGAUAACAUUUUGAACUGCAUGGUUCGAAAUUGAAAGGCGGCUUCGGCUGUCACUUAUGGAUGGACCCGCGUCGCAUUAGCUAGUUGGUGAGGUAACGGCUCACCAAGGCAACGAUGCGUAGCCGACCUGAGAGGGUGAUCGGCCACACUGGGACUGAGACACGGCCCAGACUCCUACGGGAGGCAGCAGUAGGGAAUCUUCCGCAAUGGACGAAAGUCUGACGGAGCAACGCCGCGUGAGUGAUGAAGGCUUUCGGGUCGUAAAACUCUGUUGUUAGGGAAGAACAAGUGCUAGUUGAAUAAGCUGGCACCUUGACGGUACCUAACCAGAAAGCCACGGCUAACUACGUGCCAGCAGCCGCGGUAAUACGUAGGUGGCAAGCGUUAUCCGGAAUUAUUGGGCGUAAAGCGCGCGCAGGUGGUUUCUUAAGUCUGAUGUGAAAGCCCACGGCUCAACCGUGGAGGGUCAUUGGAAACUGGGAGACUUGAGUGCAGAAGAGGAAAGUGGAAUUCCAUGUGUAGCGGUGAAAUGCGUAGAGAUAUGGAGGAACACCAGUGGCGAAGGCGACUUUCUGGUCUGUAACUGACACUGAGGCGCGAAAGCGUGGGGAGCAAACAGGAUUAG